UCCAGAGAUGGAUUGGUGCCUUCGGGAACUGUGAGACAGGUGCUGCAUGGCUGUCGUCAGCUCGUGUUGUGAAAUGUUGGGUUAAGUCCCGCAACGAGCGCAACCCUUAUCCUUUGUUGCCAGCGGUUAGGCCGGGAACUCAAAGGAGACUGCCAGUGAUAAACUGGAGGAAGGUGGGGAUGACGUCAAGUCAUCAUGGCCCUUACGACCAGGGCUACACACGUGCUACAAUGGCAUAUACAAAGAGAAGCGACCU
This 256-nucleotide ribosomal RNA is filed under the name Klebsiella pneumoniae. RNAcentral's name for it is "partial 16S ribosomal RNA". It matches the Rfam family "Bacterial small subunit ribosomal RNA", at positions 999 to 1255 of the family's 1533-position model. Lineage: Bacteria; Pseudomonadati; Pseudomonadota; Gammaproteobacteria; Enterobacterales; Enterobacteriaceae. RNAcentral also lists the same sequence under 3 other names. The record is from RNAcentral.